Molecule: ribosomal RNA, 233 nt
Filed under: uncultured Anoxybacillus sp.
Lineage: Bacteria; Bacillati; Bacillota; Bacilli; Caryophanales; Anoxybacillaceae
Description: partial 16S ribosomal RNA
Rfam family: Bacterial small subunit ribosomal RNA
Source: RNAcentral
CCGGCUAAAAGUCGGAGGAAGGUGGGGGAUGACGUCAAAUCAUCCAUGCCCCUUAUGACCUGGGCUACACACGUGCUACAAUGGGCGGUACAAAGGGUCGCGAACCCGCAGGGGGAGCCAAUCCCAAAAAAGCCGCUCUCAGUUCGGAUUGCAGGCUGCAACUCGCCUGCAUGAAGCCGGAAUCGCUAGUAAUCGCGGAUCAGCAUGCCGCGGUGAAUACGUUCCCGGGCCUU